Tachyglossus aculeatus (Australian echidna) is the source of this 140-nucleotide small nucleolar RNA. The record is from RefSeq and is a predicted model, not a curated record. NCBI's taxonomy places the organism in Eukaryota, Metazoa, Chordata, Mammalia, Monotremata, Tachyglossidae.
CCCCUCUCAGGGUCGCACCCGCAGAGUUUCCAGUCCUCUACCAGUCUCGGCUAUGGGAGGGAGAGUCAAGCAGAGAGUCAAGUCCAUUCCAUUCCUAGCUUGGGCAGUGGCUAGCGAGUGGAAGGCCAUCUGCUACAAGU